UUAAGUUAUUAAGGGCGCACGGUGGAUGCCUUGGCACUAGAAGCCGAUGAAGGACGUUACUAACGACGAUAUGCUUUGGGGAGCUGUAAGUAAGCUUUGAUCCAGAGAUUUCCGAAUGGGGAAACCCAGCAUGAGUUAUGUCAUGUUAUCGAUAUGUGAAUACAUAGCAUAUCAGAAGGCACACCCGGAGAACUGAAACAUCUUAGUACCCGGAGGAAGAGAAAGAAAAUUCGAUUCCCUUAGUAGCGGCGAGCGAAAUGGGAAGAGCCCAAACCAACAAGCUUGCUUGUUGGGGUUGUAGGACACUCUAUACGGAGUUACAAAGGACGACAUUAGACGAAUCAUCUGGAAAGAUGAAUCAAAGAAGGUAAUAAUCCUGUAGUCGAAAAUGUUGUCUCUCUUGAGUGGAUCCUGAGUACGACGGAGCACGUGAAAUUCCGUCGGAAUCUGGGAGGACCAUCUCCUAAGGCUAAAUACUCUCUAGUGACCGAUAGUGAACCAGUACCGUGAGGGAAAGGUGAAAAGCACCCCGGAAGGGGAGUGAAAUAGAACCUGAAACCGUGUGCUUACAAGUAGUCAGAGCCCGUUAAUGGGUGAUGGCGUGCCUUUUGUAGAAUGAACCGGCGAGUUACGAUUUGAUGCAAGGUUAAGCAGUAAAUGUGGAGCCGUAGCGAAAGCGAGUCUGAAUAGGGCGUUUAGUAUUUGGUCGUAGACCCGAAACCAGGUGAUCUACCCUUGGUCAGGUUGAAGUUCAGGUAACACUGAAUGGAGGACCGAACCGACUUACGUUGAAAAGUGAGCGGAUGAACUGAGGGUAGCGGAGAAAUUCCAAUCGAACCUGGAGAUAGCUGGUUCUCUCCGAAAUAGCUUUAGGGCUAGCCUCAAGUGAUGAUUAUUGGAGGUAGAGCACUGUUUGGACGAGGGGCCCCUCUCGGGUUACCGAAUUCAGACAAACUCCGAAUGCCAAUUAAUUUAACUUGGGAGUCAGAACAUGGGUGAUAAGGUCCGUGUUCGAAAGGGAAACAGCCCAGACCACCAGCUAAGGUCCCAAAAUAUAUGUUAAGUGGAAAAGGAUGUGGCGUUGCCCAGACAACUAGGAUGUUGGCUUAGAAGCAGCCAUCAUUUAAAGAGUGCGUAAUAGCUCACUAGUCGAGUGACACUGCGCCGAAAAUGUACCGGGGCUAAACAUAUUACCGAAGCUGUGGAUUGUCCUUUGGACAAUGGUAGGAGAGCGUUCUAAGGGCGUUGAAGCAUGAUCGUAAGGACAUGUGGAGCGCUUAGAAGUGAGAAUGCCGGUGUGAGUAGCGAAAGACGGGUGAGAAUCCCGUCCACCGAUUGACUAAGGUUUCCAGAGGAAGGCUCGUCCGCUCUGGGUUAGUCGGGUCCUAAGCUGAGGCCGACAGGCGUAGGCGAUGGAUAACAGGUUGAUAUUCCUGUACCACCUAUAAUCGUUUUAAUCGAUGGGGGGACGCAGUAGGAUAGGCGAAGCGUGCGAUUGGAUUGCACGUCUAAGCAGUAAGGCUGAGUAUUAGGCAAAUCCGGUACUCGUUAAGGCUGAGCUGUGAUGGGGAGAAGACAUUGUGUCUUCGAGUCGUUGAUUUCACACUGCCGAGAAAAGCCUCUAGAUAGAAAAUAGGUGCCCGUACCGCAAACCGACACAGGUAGUCAAGAUGAGAAUUCUAAGGUGAGCGAGCGAACUCUCGUUAAGGAACUCGGCAAAAUGACCCCGUAACUUCGGGAGAAGGGGUGCUCUUUAGGGUUAACGCCCAGAAGAGCCGCAGUGAAUAGGCCCAAGCGACUGUUUAUCAAAAACACAGGUCUCUGCUAAACCGUAAGGUGAUGUAUAGGGGCUGACGCCUGCCCGGUGCUGGAAGGUUAAGAGGAGUGGUUAGCUUCUGCGAAGCUACGAAUCGAAGCCCCAGUAAACGGCGGCCGUAACUAUAACGGUCCUAAGGUAGCGAAAUUCCUUGUCGGGUAAGUUCCGACCCGCACGAAAGGCGUAACGAUUUGGGCACUGUCUCAACGAGAGACUCGGUGAAAUCAUAGUACCUGUGAAGAUGCAGGUUACCCGCGACAGGACGGAAAGACCCCGUGGAGCUUUACUGUAGCCUGAUAUUGAAAUUCGGCACAGCUUGUACAGGAUAGGUAGGAGCCUUUGAAACGUGAGCGCUAGCUUACGUGGAGGCGCUGGUGGGAUACUACCCUAGCUGUGUUGGCUUUCUAACCCGCACCACUUAUCGUGGUGGGAGACAGUGUCAGGCGGGCAGUUUGACUGGGGCGGUCGCCUCCUAAAAGGUAACGGAGGCGCUCAAAGGUUCCCUCAGAAUGGUUGGAAAUCAUUCAUAGAGUGUAAAGGCAUAAGGGAGCUUGACUGCGAGACCUACAAGUCGAGCAGGGUCGAAAGACGGACUUAGUGAUCCGGUGGUUCCGCAUGGAAGGGCCAUCGCUCAACGGAUAAAAGCUACCCCGGGGAUAACAGGCUUAUCUCCCCCAAGAGUUCACAUCGACGGGGAGGUUUGGCACCUCGAUGUCGGCUCAUCGCAUCCUGGGGCUGUAGUCGGUCCCAAGGGUUGGGCUGUUCGCCCGUUAAAGCGGUACGCGAGCUGGGUUCAGAACGUCGUGAGACAGUUCGGUCCCUAUCCGUCGUGGGCGUAGGAAAUUUGAGAGGAGCUGUCCUUAGUACGAGAGGACCGGGAUGGACAUACCUCUGGUGUACCAGUUGUCGUGCCAACGGCAUAGCUGGGUAGCUAUGUGUGGACGGGAUAAGUGCUGAAAGCAUCUAAGCAUGAAGCCCCCCUCAAGAUGAGAUUUCCCAACUUCGGUUAUAAGAUCCCUCAAAGAUGAUGAGGUUAAUAGGUUCGAGGUGGAAGCAUGGUGACAUGUGGAGCUGACGAAUACUAAUCGAUCGAAGACUUAAUCAA
This 2921-nucleotide ribosomal RNA is filed under the name Staphylococcus aureus. Its description in RNAcentral is "bacterial LSU rRNA". It matches the Rfam family "Bacterial large subunit ribosomal RNA". The record is from RNAcentral. Lineage: Bacteria; Bacillati; Bacillota; Bacilli; Caryophanales; Staphylococcaceae.